GACGAACGCUGGCGGCGUGCUUAACACAUGCAAGUCGAACGGAAAGGCCCUGCUUUUGUGGGGUGCUCGAGUGGCGAACGGGUGAGUAACACGUGAGUAACCUGCCCUUGACUUUGGGAUAACUUCAGGAAACUGGGGCUAAUACCGGAUAGGAGCUCCUGCUGCAUGGUGGGGGUUGGAAAGUUUCGGCGGUUGGGGAUGGACUCGCGGCUUAUCAGCUUGUUGGUGGGGUAGUGGCUUACCAAGGCUUUGACGGGUAGCCGGCCUGAGAGGGUGACCGGCCACAUUGGGACUGAGAUACGGCCCAGACUCCUACGGGAGGCAGCAGUGGGGAAUAUUGCACAAUGGGCGGAAGCCUGAUGCAGCAACGCCGCGUGCGGGAUGACGGCCUUCGGGUUGUAAACCGCUUUCGCCUGUGACGAAGCGUGAGUGACGGUAAUGGGUAAAGAAGCACCGGCUAACUACGUGCCAGCAGCCGCGGUGAUACGUAGGGUGCGAGCGUUGUCCGGAUUUAUUGGGCGUAAAGGGCUCGUAGGUGGUUGAUCGCGUCGGAAGUGUAAUUUUGGGGCUUAACCCUGAGCGUGCUUUCGAUACGGGUUGACUUGAGGAAGGUAGGGGAGAAUGGAAUUCCUGGUGGAGCGGUGGAAUGCGCAGAUAUCAGGAGGAACACCAGUGGCGAAGGCGGUUCUCUGGGCCUUUCCUGACGCUGAGGAGCGAAAGCGUGGGGAGCGAACAGGCUUAGAUACCCUGGUAGUCCACGCUGUAAACGGUGGGUACUAGGUGUGGGGUCCAUUCCACGGGUUCCGUGCCGUAGCUAACGCUUUAAGUACCCCGCCUGGGGAGUACGGCCGCAAGGCUAAAACUCAAAGGAAUUGACGGGGCCCCGCACAAGCGGCGGAGCAUGCGGAUUAAUUCGAUGCAACGCGUAGAACCUUACCUGGGUUUGACAUGGAUCGGGAGUGCUCAGAGAUGGGUGUGCCUCUUUUGGGGUCGGUUCACAGGUGGUGCAUGGCUGUCGUCAGCUCGUGUCGUGAGAUGUUGGGUUAAGUCCCGCAACGAGCGCAACCCUUGUUCACUGUUGCCAGCACGUUAUGGUGGGGACUCAGUGGAGACCGCCGGGGUCAACUCGGAGGAAGGUGGGGAUGACGUCAAGUCAUCAUGCCCCUUAUGUCCAGGGCUUCACGCAUGCUACAAUGGCUGGUACAGAGAGUGGCGAGCCUGUGAGGGUGAGCGAAUCUCGGAAAGCCGGUCUCAGUUCGGAUUGGGGUCUGCAACUCGACCUCAUGAAGUCGGAGUCGCUAGUAAUCGCAGAUCAGCAACGCUGCGGUGAAUACGUUCCCGGG
This 1343-nucleotide ribosomal RNA is filed under the name uncultured bacterium. RNAcentral describes it as "16S ribosomal RNA". It matches the Rfam family "Bacterial small subunit ribosomal RNA", at positions 28 to 1378 of the family's 1533-position model. The record is from RNAcentral.